UACGUAGGUGGCAAGCGUUGUCCGGAUUUACUGGGCGUAAAGGGAGCGUAGGCGGAUUUUUAAGUGAGAUGUGAAAUACCCGGGCUUAACUUGGGUGCUGCAUUUCAAACUGGAAGUCUAGAGUGCAGGAGAGGAGAAGGGAAUUCCUAGUGUAGCGGCGAAAUGCGUAGAGAUUAGGAAGAACACCAGUGGCGAAGGCGCUUCUCUGGACUGUAACUGACGCUGAGGCUCGAAAGCGUGGGGAGCAAACAGGGAUUAGAUACCCUGGUAGU
RNAcentral lists this ribosomal RNA (272 nucleotides) under uncultured prokaryote. RNAcentral describes it as "partial 16S ribosomal RNA". It matches the Rfam family "Bacterial small subunit ribosomal RNA", at positions 524 to 794 of the family's 1533-position model. The record is from RNAcentral.